Molecule: ribosomal RNA, 519 nt
Filed under: uncultured Glomeraceae
Lineage: Eukaryota; Fungi; Glomeromycota; Glomeromycetes; Glomerales; Glomeraceae
Description: SSU rRNA
Rfam family: Eukaryotic small subunit ribosomal RNA
Source: RNAcentral
AGCAGCCGCGGUAAUUCCAGCUCCAAUAGCGUAUAUUAAAGUUGUUGCAGUUAAAAAGCUCGUAGUUGAAUUUCGAGACCGGUUUACUGGUCGUGCUUUUGUACGUACUGGUAUAAUCGGUUUCUCUUUUCUGACGAACUAUAAUGCCAUUAAUUUGGUGUUAUAGGGAAUCAGGACUGUUACUUUGAAAAAAUUAAAGUGUUUAAAGCAGGCUCACGCUUGAAUACAUUAGCAUGGAAUAACGAAAUAGGACGUUUGAUUUUAUUUUGUUGGUUUCUAGGAUCGACGUAAUGAUUAAUAGGGAUAGUUGGGGGCAUUAGUAUUCAAUUGUCAGAGGUGAAAUUCUUGGAUUUAUUGAAGACUAACUACUGCGAAAGCAUUUGCCAAGGAUGUUUUCAUUAAUCAAGAACGAAAGUUAGGGGAUCGAAGACGAUCAGAUACCGUCGUAGUCUUAACCAUAAACUAUGCCGACUAGGGAUCGGAUGAUGUUAAUAUUAAUGACUCAUUCGGCACCUUACG